Molecule: unclassified non-coding RNA, 212 nt
Filed under: uncultured Mycena
Lineage: Eukaryota; Fungi; Basidiomycota; Agaricomycetes; Agaricales; Tricholomataceae
Description: sequence contains ITS2
Source: RNAcentral
AAUUCUCAACCUUGCUUGCUUUUGCGAGUGAGGCUUGGAUGUGAGGGCUUUGCUGGCUUCCUUCAGUGGAUGGUCUGCUCCCUUUAAAUGCAUUAGUGGGAUCUCUUGUGGACCGUCACUUGGUGUGAUAAUUUAUCUAUGCCUCGUUGACUUUGAAGCAAAAUUUAUGGGAACCUGCUUAUAACCGUCCCUAACAAGGACAUUUUUCAACC